Molecule: long non-coding RNA, 1286 nt
Organism: Ctenopharyngodon idella (grass carp)
Lineage: Eukaryota; Metazoa; Chordata; Actinopteri; Cypriniformes; Xenocyprididae
Exons: 2
Source: RefSeq, a predicted model, not a curated record
AUUGAACACCAAAAACACGGUUCUUGUGUUAAAAUAGCAUUUGCUGAACUACUGUAGAGUAAACCGCUGAAUGUGUAAAGAUGCUAGACACUACAGUUGAUUUUACAGUAAAAACACGAUUAUGAUAACAGGCUCUAGUAAACACACAUAACUUAAUUCUCUGAAGUGGAUUUACAUGUUGUAAACCACAUCUUAAAGAUGCUUAUUAAAUGUUUAUUUAACAUCUGACAGGAACAUCUUCUGUAAGUAUUGUGGCUUAUGAGUGAUGGAUUAUGUAUGAGUGAUGUGUGUGUGCUAUUAUGUAGAAUUCACAGUUGUCAAAACUGUUUACUUUACAUGAAUGAAAAUAACGUAAAUAAAUAAAUCUACAUAAAAUAAACAAAAGUUUAAUCUGUUUUAUUUGUCUGUUAGUACUGUUGAUAAAUGAAGGAACAUUUGUGUUGAUAAAAAGAGAGUUAACAGAUCAUCAUCAUCAUCAUGUGAAUGUAGUGUUGAGCACAUCAAUCUCAGAGAAACUUGAAUCUUGUCUGAUGUUACAGGGACAGAUGAUCACGUGUGUUUAUCCGGUGGAGAGAGGCUGAUGAAGGACUGAUGCCAUCAAAGGCUUUGAGUGACGAUAGUCACCCGAUUAAUACUGAGAUUCUAGAUGUUUUUAUUUAAAAAGGCUUAAAAGAGGUGUAGCGAGGAAUUUCACUACAAUGUAGGGCAGCGACUGAUGAGGAUUGAGGCUCUGGAACUUAACAUACACGGUAGCUCCCCAGAGUAUAACAGUGUUGAUUAACCCCUCUUCCCCUCUUCAGACCACAAGACAGUAGGAAUGCCCCUACUCCAAGAUAUCAAAGUUUUACACUUAUUUCUUAAAUGUUUAGCAGAAUUAAACAAAAGAAAGAAAACAACAGUCCUGAAAUAAAUUCUUUGUUUCACUCUAUUUUUUAUAUAUUUCUUGAAAAAUCAUAAGAAAGUUUUGUUCAGAUUCAAACUUUUGUUCAGUUUCUUCUCUUUCAACAGUAAUACUCAAAAUCAGAAAAACAACAACAGUUCUGAUAGAAUGCUCAGAUGGUACUCAGUUCACUCAAAAGUACAUUACAGAUGUUUCAUUCCAUAUCAGAUAUUUCCAGUUCACAUACCUGAGUGAGAUUCACAACCCCAAAGUUAAAGUUUUACCUCACAGUAGAACUGGGCUGGUGUUGGAGUGUCCAGAUAUGGCAGGGUAAUUAAAUCAAACAAAUAGCCACCUGUUCAAAAACAGAAAGUCCCUUCCGUUUCUUCAACGACAGGAAAAAUAA